UUUAAAAAUACAAGGAAGUUUUCGGCAACAACAGCUCUGUGAUGCCCCCUAGAUGAUCUUGGGUGCACGCCCGUUACACUGAAAGUUGCAGUAAGUAUUUAGAAAUCAUAAUCAUGUGGAUUCGUCCAGUUUAUUUAAGAUUUUUGCCUGAAUUGAAGAAUUUGGGAAAACUGUAAUCAAAGACUUUCGUGAUGGGGAUUGAUAAUUGUAAGUAUUUAUCAUAAACGAGGAAUACCUAGUAAACGCAAGUCAUCAACUUGCAUUGAUUACGUCCCUGCCCUUUGUACACACCGCCCGUCGCUCCUACCGAUGAAUAGUCCGGUGAAAUAUUGGGACUUGUUUUUGGAGGGUUUAUUCUUUCCACGAAAUGAGAAACAUUAUUCAACCUUAUUAUUUAGAGGAAGGAGAAGUCGU
This 414-nucleotide ribosomal RNA is filed under the name Vexillifera bacillipedes. RNAcentral's name for it is "SSU rRNA". It matches the Rfam family "Eukaryotic small subunit ribosomal RNA", at positions 1426 to 1792 of the family's 1831-position model. The record is from RNAcentral. Lineage: Eukaryota; Discosea; Flabellinia; Dactylopodida; Vexilliferidae.